GAUGAACGCUGGCGGCGUGCCUAAUACAUGCAAGUCGAGCGAACAGACGAGGAGCUUGCUCCUCUGACGUUAGCGGCGGACGGGUGAGUAACACGUGGAUAACCUACCUAUAAGACUGGGAUAACUUCGGGAAACCGGAGCUAAUACCGGAUAAUAUAUUGAACCGCAUGGUUCAAUAGUGAAAGACGGUUUUGCUGUCACUUAUAGAUGGAUCCGCGCCGAAUUAGCUAGUUGGUAAGGUAACGGCUUACCAAGGCAACGAUGCGUAGCCGACCGGGGCGGGGGAUCGGCCACACGGGAACUGAGACGCGGUCCAGACUCCUACGGGAGGCAGCAGUAGGGAAUCUUCCGCAAUGGGCGAAAGCUUGACGGAGCAACGCCGCGUGAGUGAUGAAGGUCUUCGGAUCGUAAAACUCUGUUAUUAGUGAAGAACAAAUGUGUAAGUAACUAUGCACGUCUUGACGGUACCUAAUCAGAAAGCCACGGCUAACUACGUG
RNAcentral lists this ribosomal RNA (497 nucleotides) under uncultured bacterium. RNAcentral describes it as "partial 16S ribosomal RNA". It matches the Rfam family "Bacterial small subunit ribosomal RNA", at positions 28 to 507 of the family's 1533-position model. The record is from RNAcentral.